GCGGCCCUCCGUCUGUUGCUUGCUCCGGUACCACCCCAGCCACGGCGGCGCAACGCUACCAUAUCUCGUGCUUUUAUCCAGAUGUACUGAACCAGGUCCGUCCGAUUCAUUCAUUGAUCUAGGUUUAUUUUAGAGUUUUUGAUUGGGGCAGGGGAGACAUGUUGUCUGCCACGGUCUGCUAGGGGGUCAAUUUGCAGGUUCUUUAGACUAAAUUAUGGUAUCUGUUUCUUCCUGUUGAACCAUUGUACCUUGUAGUGCUACUUCUGAGAGAAGAUGUUACUUAUUACCCUCCAUAUUCCUAUUUUUGUGAUAUCUUAUAGUUGCUUAUUGUCACUCAUCAUUUGUGUCUGAUGCAUUUGUUCUUUUUGUGAUAAUUGUUCCUCUUUUGGUUCAAAAGACGAGCAGGAACAUGAUCUUAACAGAAUACUGCUGUCAUAGUAUCUUCACUUGCAAAGUGAAGGUCGCCUAAGUACAUGGAUGAAUUCCUUUGUUGGUCUGUGUGGUCCAUUUCAAAGAAAGAAUAACCCUGAUGUAAUACUGACAGAUCAGAAGUCAAGCUUUGGUUCUUUCUUUCUGGUCAAUGGUCAUCACUCGUCUGUAGCUGAAAUAACCCACCCUGCUGUAGCCAAACUAAAAGGUCGGUUAUUGUUGAUGUAUUUUUCUUACAUGGAGUAAUAGCUCUCAAGAGCAUAUUUAUUUGCUUGUUUCUACUGCUGUGACUCCACCUCCAAGCAACUCAGAAGAGGGCAACACACACUAUGUCAGGCCUUAAGAAAUUCUUUAGAGAGGUAUCACUAUAUUUGUUUUUCCUACUAUUAUAUAGAAUGAAUCUGUAAUUUCUAAUUGUCUCUCCCAUUGAAGUAUAAGUCCCAAAUUUUAAAUUUUGACCAUUUCUCUUGUUUUUUCCUAUGCAAGAUUUGGUGAUGUAUUUAUAUAAUUCAACCUUCCUAUGAGAAAUCAAAACAAUUUUCAGUUCAUGCCUAAGUUGCUACACUUGUAUUUGUUUAUUCAUUGUGUCCCUUGUUAGCUACUCCUCUGUCCCACAAUAUAAGAUGUUAUUACAACGAAUACAUGGGUUAGCAGGUUGCAAUAGCAUCUUAUAUUAAGGGACGGAGGGAGUAGUAUUUUAUGGCCUUUGCUCAGCAAGUGAUGAUACAAACCAAAGUUUCAUUUUGUGCCUGGACAUACGAGAUAUGCUGGUUUUUGCCAAAUUUGUGCACUAUAAUAGAUAGUAUAUGGGAUAUUGAGAUAUAGAGAACCCUGUCAUUUUCUCUGUGCUGGCAGGGGUUCUUGCUCACCUAGUGAUAUAAAAAGUGCUUACACAAUUGUAGUUUGACUUGCCAAAUGAGAUUUCUACUUAAUUUAUCUUUUUCUUUGUCCGCUAUAGUGGUUUUGACAGUAAUUACAUGAUUUUUGGCAACCUUUAUUUGAUGACGAGAUUGUAAUGAUAAUAUUGAUACUUUUUGGUUAUUUGUCUUAUUAUAGCAUCAGAAUGAGGCCAGCAGGGAUUCAUAUCUUGUGACAUUGCAUAGAUAAUUGUUAAUGAAUUAGUAGGCUAACAUUUCUUCUCUUUUAGAUGUUGGAUAAUGAAUCAAAAGUCAAGAUCAAGUUGCUAUAAUGCUACAAUUAAUCGCACAACCAUUUCUCCUUUCUGAUGAGUGAAAACAAGUAAUGCCAUUUGUGCCAUCGAGGAUACAUAUCUGGCUGUCUGUGUAGAAUUUAUCUUUACAUUUGUUAGGUAAAAUUCGCUACAUAAGGUGGAGCACAAGAUGACAAGUGAGUCUCACUUACAGUAGGUAUUAGUGAAUCAUCAGAAAACUACCUAUCAAAUAGUGAUAAAUGAGUCAUUCAUUAGUAUGUCAUUUUUGAAAUUUCACCAUUACAAAUAGAACUCAACAAAUGCGUAAGCUAUCUUGAUUUAGUUGUUCGAUUGUUCGACUUUUCUAUACGCUCCUUUUGUGUCCAUAUGUUGUGGGGAUCACCUUACUGGAAGUAGUUUUUUAAAACCCGACUGCAUUAGUUAGUUUCUCAAGUAAUUAUGCGGCUACUGGUUAAAGUUUUUAUUUCUUGUCCUGGAAACUAUGUAGUUAACAAAAUGAUAACAUUCAUCUAUGGGCAGAAGCAAAGCCAUACUAUGGUUUAUAUGGCGGCACCUAAUUUACUAGGUUUUACUCAAUCCGCUAUCUGCCAGCUGAGAAGCGAAAGUUACUAUGUUAGUUCCCUUUGACUUUCUAGCUGCCUCAACUGAUAAAAAACCAAAACCAGGAAAUAAUCAGAAAAACAAAGAAUUAGAUUCAGUGAAGGACCCUCACUUGGUUGCUGGUGGACAGCAAAGGAUUCCGUUGAUACCCUUCUAGUUUUAUUUUUUCCUGCUGACAUACCCUUCUAGUUAAGGACAUAUAUUUACCCAUCCUAGGCUGUUUUACAGAACUGUAAAUCUUGGUCCCUAGCUAGCCCAGCUGACGACUGCCACAUCGACUUGGGCUCUCGUGACGGGGGAUGUUUUGUGGCCGGUAGUGGGGGAACUUUGCAAGGAGGCCCUUAAAGAAAUUGGACAUACACUUACCGAUUUGUCGCUUUCGUCGUGCUGGACUGUCCAUUUCUGAUCUAACGCUGGAUGUUACCUUUGUCAUGCUGGACUGUCGUGUGCCUUAUUUUGUGAGGGAAAUCGUGUGCUUGCUUAUAGUUAUAAGGUUCUUAUGCUACCUGUGAACCUGAAAUUUAGACUGUACUGAUUGUGCAACAGAAGCUCAGUUUCUAGUCUACUGAUUACAGCUGCAUUUCAUGUACUGGAAUGAAGACUUUGAUUUUUGUGUGUAGGGUGUAAUUUCUGUGGAGGCAUGCAAAGACCCCAACCAAAGAAGAGACUAAGAUCACCAUCAAGAAGCUCAGAUGCAAAAUGAUUGUCGCCAAGACCGUCUCACAUUCCUCGGGAGUUGUCAGAGCCAAGAAGCAAGGAGCAAGAUGUUAGCUGAAAGAAGAGACGGAAGCCACCAGCAACUCCGAAUUCUGAGUCUCUUAUCGGGCAGUAAACAGUUGCAGUUAUAAUGUAAACAAUUGUUGAUAUAGGAGAAAUGCUAGGAAUAGUAGUUUCCAUUAUGAUGCGCUGCUGGCCAAUGUAAUGUUCACUGAAUUCUAUUGACAGGUUGUAAUGUAAACAGGUACAAUGAAUGUUCUAGAGCUAGCUAGCUACGAACAAAAUUUCUUUCCUGCUGUUGUUCA
Molecule: long non-coding RNA, 3222 nt
Organism: Lolium rigidum
Lineage: Eukaryota; Viridiplantae; Streptophyta; Magnoliopsida; Poales; Poaceae
Exons: 4
Source: RefSeq, a predicted model, not a curated record